CCUAGCACAUGCUCUGCUAUAUACUGACCUAGCACUGGGUUACUGAAAUGACUCCAUUCCAAAUAACUCCAUUUAAAUAUAUAUAUAUAUAUAUAUAUAUAUAACACAUGUAAUUUCCAUAAGUACUGUAGUUAUGAGCAGUGUCUUACUAAUGUAGCUAGUUCAUGACACUGCUGAGAGGUUUGUGGUUUAUGUUUAGGUUUAUGGUUUUUGAGACAGCUUGUUGUAGAGUUUGACUGGGCAGAGCAUUUUACAGCUGGUUAGCCUUUUCCAUUUACUUUACAGCAGGUUAGCCUCUCCCUUUUACUUUAUAGCAGGUCAGCCCCAUCUAUUCACUGUAUGGCAGGUUAGCCUCACCCUUUUACUUUACAGCAGGUUAGCCCCGCCCAUUCAUUUUACAGCAGGUUAGCCCCGUCCAUUCACUUUACAGCAGGUUAGCCUCACCCUGUUACUUUACGGCAGGUUAGCCGCACCCUGUUACUUUACGGCAGGUUAGCCUCACCCUGUUACUUUACGGCAGGUCAGCCUCGCCCUUUUUCUUUAUGGCAGGUCAGCCCCACCCAUUCACUUUCCAGUGGGUCAGCCCUGCUUUUUAGCUUUACAGUAAGUUAGCUCAGCCCAUUAAAGUUAUAGCAGGAUAGACCCACUCAGUCACUUUACAGCAGCUUAACCUUGCUCAUUAGAAUUAGUAACUAUUGGGGAAAAUACAUUUUCACACAGGCCCAGUUGGUAUUUAAUAACUUUUUGCUUCAAUAAAUAACAUUAUCAUUUAAAAAUGAUAUUUGUGUUAACUCAGGUUGCCUUUGUUUUAUCUUAGAUUUGUUUUAAUUUCUGAAACAAUUUAGUACAGCAAAAACACAGCUAAAGUUAAAUGAAAAGCACAAUACAACUAGACUACGUAUCAUUCCAUUGGAUCAGCCUUUCAGCUACGUGCUUAAAUUGAAUAGAUAACUCUGUGUGUAUAAUGGCCUACUGUGUGGUUACUUUUCAACUCAGUGUGAUUCCUAAAAUCAUGCUGCUAAAAUCAUACAGCUGUAGUUGUGCCCUGUUUCUCAAAUAUGAAAUAUAUUCAGCAUGAACCUGUUUCUGAAGCCUCCAAUUUAGGGGUUUAUUCAGCAAGUCCUUCAGAUUAGGAUUACUUGUCUAGGGAGAUAGGAUGAGACAAAAAGAUAAAAAGCGGCCAUCUUUAUCAAACUCAGGCAGUUAAGACGUAUCAUUGCAGUAGAUGGAGACUAAUGUGAUCUCAAUGUGAAUCAAUACUGAAGUGAAGGUGAAUAAUCAGUAGAAUUUGAACAGAUCAAUAGAUCACAAUAAGGAAGUGUACGUACAUGAAAGGUAAGAGCCCUGCAUGCCGUUACACUGUAUCUUGCAGAAACUAGAUUGGUCUAAAAAGUGAACACUGAGUUAUUAUUUAUAUAUAUAUUUUUACUGUAUUGUUUGUAAGAGUUAUGUUCUCUUCACAAAAUAACAUUUUAGUAGCAUUAAACGAUUGCCAUGUCACGAACAGAAAUAGGUUUUAUACCUUGCAAUCAUGCCUGCCAAACCUGAGGUUCACACAGUCUAAUUAACACCUACUGUACAGUGUUGAAUUAUCUCUUACUGUGUUGAAGUUCCAGACAGUAUAGUGUAAAAUAGAAGGGUACGUCAACCCAUAAUGAAUUACGCAAAAGAUUAACAAAUUCUUUUAGCACAAGUAAUUUAAUAUUACGCAAAUAUACUACGUCAACCUAGAAACUUUUCACAGUCAACUCAUGGAUCACACCCCUUCUACAGGCUGAAACGUCCACCUCGAUUCAUGAUGAAAUAGGGGAUUUUGGUUUUCUAGUACAGUAUGUAUCAGUGGGUGGUGACCUUUCAACUGUUGACGCCCCCAAACACAGAACACAGCUCUGCGACAUAAAUACGGCAACUUCUCAGAGUCCGGAGUAUCACACAUCACUCAUUAUGGACCAUUUGAACGAAUAUAUGAAUGAACCAUUCACGAUAUGUAUUUCUCUCACCCACGCCUCUCAAUUCAUCACAAAC
Ictalurus punctatus (channel catfish) is the source of this 2025-nucleotide long non-coding RNA. NCBI's taxonomy places the organism in Eukaryota, Metazoa, Chordata, Actinopteri, Siluriformes, Ictaluridae. The record is from Ensembl.